This 465-nucleotide ribosomal RNA is filed under the name Vreelandella stevensii. RNAcentral's name for it is "partial 16S ribosomal RNA". It matches the Rfam family "Bacterial small subunit ribosomal RNA", at positions 338 to 795 of the family's 1533-position model. The record is from RNAcentral. Lineage: Bacteria; Pseudomonadati; Pseudomonadota; Gammaproteobacteria; Oceanospirillales; Halomonadaceae.
CCUACGGGUGGCUGCAGUGGGGAAUAUUGGACAAUGGGCGAAAGCCUGAUCCAGCCAUGCCGCGUGUGUGAAGAAGGCCUUCGGGUUGUAAAGCACUUUCAGUGGGGAAGAAAGCCUUGGGGCUAAUACCCUCGAGGAAGGACAUCACCCACAGAAGAAGCACCGGCUAACUCCGUGCCAGCAGCCGCGGUAAUACGGAGGGUGCGAGCGUUAAUCGGAAUUACUGGGCGUAAAGCGCGCGUAGGCGGUCUGAUAAGCCGGUUGUGAAAGCCCCGGGCUCAACCUGGGAACGGCAUCCGGAACUGUCAGGCUAGAGUGCAGGAGAGGAAGGUAGAAUUCCCGGGGUAGCGGUGAAAUGCGUAGAGAUCGGGAGGAAUACCAGUGGCGAAGGCGGCCUUCUGGACUGACACUGACGCUGAGGUGCGAAAGCGUGGGUAGCAAACAGGAUUAGAUACCCUGGUAGUC